UACUCAAUGGCGAAGUAGUUUACGUCGUAUCGUUAUCUGUAUUUACUGAAUUGCCGCCUUUGUGGUUUUUAUACAAAUUUUUUUUUCGUAUUAUUUUUUUUUCGUAUUUUCUCGAAAUAUGGGAGAGAGUGUCACAGAAAUGAUACAGGAUUUGGGCUGGAAAUCAUUAAAAGAAAGGCGUUUUUCGUUGGGACGGAAUCUUCUCACGAAAUUCCAAUCACCAACUUUCUCCUCCGAAUGCGAAAAUAUUUUGUCGACACCGACCUACAUAGGGCUGAAUGAUCACCACGAUAAAAUAAGGGAAACCAGAGCUCGAACGACAAGAUAUAGGUGUUCAUUCUUUCUGCGCUAUACGAGAUUGGAAUAAUACAGAAUUGUGAAGGUGGUUCGAUGAACCCUCUGCCAGGCACUUAAAUGUGAUUUGCAGAGUAUCCAUGUAGAUGUAGAUGUAGAAAACCACAAAGGCGGCAAAUCAGUAAAUACAGUGAUGCUGCUGUUGAAACAUAUUUUUACUUUAUGAAGCAUUACAGAUCCAUUUUUUUGCUCUUCCUGCGGGCGUUCCUACUCAGCAAAAUGUAGCCUGUCCAGACAUCAACGAUUCGAGUGUGAUGUUAUUCCUCAAUUUGCUUGCACCUUAUGUACUAAGAAGUUCAAGCACAGACAUCAUCUGCUCAGGCAUAUAACUUUUUAUCACAGGUAUAAGGGGCCUGAUCUUUACAGUUAGCUGGUGAAAACAAAGGAGCUGAGGGGACGUAAUCUGAAGAUGUCGUGGUGAUAAAGAUAUAGGGAUAAAACGUGAGGUGUUCAACGGGCUAAAAUCACCUUCAUCAUAAAAGGAAAAUGAUGAUAAAAAGAAGGAAGAUGAACGGCCUGACCAACUGCACUCGCCAAUCAGCACACGCAUGUGAAAAUCCACAGAUCAUCAGAUUUACAAGUAUGAAGAACAAAUUAAAGGUGUGAAACCUUCAAAAAUUUUCUGUUUCUUAGUAGGAGUUGGUCGUUAAGGAUAUUGUCUUUAGCAUGUUGCAGAUGCUUAAAGAUCUGCAUUUCUUCCAAAACAUCCAGUUUUAAGCCCUUAACCUCGGCAUGAAGUAACUCGAUAUUAACUGGAGGACUCGGCACAUGAGCCGUUUGCACAAGGUGUUCCGCAUAAGUAGAACCCUUAGUACCGUCACCGCUUCUAGUAGGAAUAUGCUCUUUAUACCUGAGACCCAGAGCUUGUCCCAUUUUCUUGACAAAUGAAUUUCUAUAAUUUCUAGUAGUUUAGAUUAUUAUUUUAUAAAUGAAUCCAGAAAAGUGUGUCAAAUAUUUAAUAAUUUCAAAUGAUUGUAUCUGUACAUUCAGAGCUAGCGCAUAUUGAUUGUAGCAACAAAAAUAAAGUAGCUAUUUUUCAUAAAUUUUAGCUUGAAAUAUAACAUAUUGUGUUUAAAAUUAUAUGAAACUUUUCAGAAAAGGAGCUUAGAUAAUAUUGACCUAUUCAAAAUUCAAAAAAUUUUUCUGGCAUCGACUACUACUGAUCAGGAAAAGUAAUGCUAGACGAGGAUGUCACUUUACGAACAUAAAAAAAAUGUCACACCCAAACAUUGUUAUGAUAGGCACAGGCCUUCUUUGUUCAUUGUGUUACACUGUUCCUAUGAAGAAGCAGAAGUGUAACAAGUCAAAAGAGAAGUUUAAUCUGUACACUACAGUAACAAUAAACUAUGAUG
This is a long non-coding RNA of Schistocerca cancellata (South American locust), 1706 nucleotides long. RefSeq lists it as uncharacterized. The transcript has 3 exons. The record is from RefSeq and is a predicted model, not a curated record. NCBI's taxonomy places the organism in Eukaryota, Metazoa, Arthropoda, Insecta, Orthoptera, Acrididae.